This 748-nucleotide ribosomal RNA is filed under the name Alteromonas sp. xn23. RNAcentral describes it as "bacterial SSU rRNA". It matches the Rfam family "Bacterial small subunit ribosomal RNA", at positions 78 to 829 of the family's 1533-position model. The record is from RNAcentral. Lineage: Bacteria; Pseudomonadati; Pseudomonadota; Gammaproteobacteria; Alteromonadales; Alteromonadaceae.
UGCUAGAAGAUGACGAGUGGCGGACGGGUGAGUAAUGCUUGGGAACUUGCCUUUGCGAGGGGGAUAACAGUUGGAAACGACUGCUAAUACCGCAUAAUGUCUUCGGACCAAACGGGGCUUCGGCUCCGGCGCAAAGAGAGGCCCAAGUGAGAUUAGCUAGUUGGUAAGGUAACGGCUUACCAAGGCGACGAUCUCUAGCUGUUCUGAGAGGAAGAUCAGCCACACUGGGACUGAGACACGGCCCAGACUCCUACGGGAGGCAGCAGUGGGGAAUAUUGCACAAUGGGGGAAACCCUGAUGCAGCCAUGCCGCGUGUGUGAAGAAGGCCUUCGGGUUGUAAAGCACUUUCAGUUGUGAGGAAAAGUUAGUAGUUAAUACCUGCUAGCCGUGACGUUAACAACAGAAGAAGCACCGGCUAACUCCGUGCCAGCAGCCGCGGUAAUACGGAGGGUGCGAGCGUUAAUCGGAAUUACUGGGCGUAAAGCGCACGCAGGCGGUUUGUUAAGCUAGAUGUGAAAGCCCCGGGCUCAACCUGGGAUGGUCAUUUAGAACUGGCAGACUAGAGUCUUGGAGAGGGGAGUGGAAUUCCAGGUGUAGCGGUGAAAUGCGUAGAUAUCUGGAGGAACAUCAGUGGCGAAGGCGACUCCCUGGCCAAAGACUGACGCUCAUGUGCGAAAGUGUGGGUAGCGAACAGGAUUAGAUACCCUGGUAGUCCACACCGUAAACGCUGUCUACUAGCUGUGUGUGU